This 30-nucleotide non-coding RNA is filed under the name Homo sapiens (human). The record is from RNAcentral. Lineage: Eukaryota; Metazoa; Chordata; Mammalia; Primates; Hominidae.
GACAAUAGCCAAAACAGGAGAUGGGCGGGU